GCCCCCUGGUUAGCCCUUCGGGGUCGGGAGAAAAGUUCAGAGAAUCCUGGCCAGCCUAUUCCAGCGGCUAGGAGGACGCCCCCAGUCGCCCUUUUCCCCGGAUAAAUAACUCGCGCGCUCGCUCCCUCCCUCCCUCCCCAACUGUCUCUGGAAUUCCCCAGGAUGAACCCCAAACGAGAAGGAAAAUGAGGAGCCCGGUAGCCAGCCGGCCCGCCAGGGUCUGGGGGUGUACGUUGGCGUUGGCGGAGGGCGGGGCCUGGCGGAGGGGGGUGCCGUGAAUGAGUCUUCGGGCCUUCCUUUCCCGAGAUCUUCGGCGCGAAGCGGCUCUUGCACGAUCUCUCGUUGAGCCGAUCUCUCUGGCCAGGGCGGCCUCCGCGGCUCUCCAGUCACCUAACACACACAUAUCUGCCCUUGGGAGCGUUUUCCCUUAAAGGACUCCAACUGCGAUUCUUGGGCGACCAACGCGACCGACACAAACAGAAUCCUCUUGUUGCGACUUGGCAGCCUGGCAUCGCUGACCAUCGUUACAGCGGAGCCGGGCCGGCUCGCCCUGCCCAUCCGCCCUCAUCAUCUCCCUCCAGACUGGCCUUGGCGGGUUUGGGUCCGCCUGCGGAGGGUGAGCCCUGGAAAGGGCGCUGAACUGUCUGCUCCACUUUACGGGUCCGCCGUGUCCCCGGAGCCGCAGUGUGUUUGCUCCGCGUUCUGGCCCGGGUGUGAGCCGGCCGCCGUCUGUUCUUGCUGGGGGCGCCCCUGGUAAGGUGAGGCACGUCCCCGUUCCUGAGCUGUUCCCAGUAGUUUCUCGGCCAGCUGGGCACGAUGGAUGGCUGGAUGGCUGGAUGGCUGGAAGGGCCGGUGAGGCGGCUGGUGGCUCCCCAGGCCUCGCUCCCCUUCCCAUCUGGAUGUCUUCCUCCAGGUAAAUAAAGAGCCGGCGGGGGUCACGGACCCCCCAGCAUAUGGGGACAAGCCUCCCUGGCUGCCUGCCUUCUUUCCCUUCCCGGUGCAGAUUCUUCCUUCUCCUCGGAGCCUUCCGCAGUCUUAUAAAGGAAAGCUCCGCUCCAGGGGAAGGCGGUGCAAGAUUGAGGCCUUCCGACUCCCCGGCCCCAUGUUCGAAGCCCCCCGGCGCUGGCCAGGGAAAUGCCGGCUUCAUAUCGGGGACGGAUUUGAGCAUUGGCGAGCCUCCCGUCGGCUUCUGGGUCGAAUCUAAGGAGAGCCUCGGGAGGUCGGGCGGACGAGGAGGAGCCUGGUGGCCUCCCCAUUCCGGUGCCACCAAACUCCAGGGAAACGGGAAUUAGGCAGACCUCCGGGCCGCCCUGAGCCCAGCCGGAGGACGGCCAAGGCGACGUUCCAGUCCUUUGAGAAGAGGCUGUCCGUCUCUGGGAAUUUCCGUUUGCCUUUUUUCUGGUUAAGUUUUAGGUCAUUUUAUCUCAUUUUGAAAAAUAAGGUUCAUUUUUUAAGCCUUUACCUUCCCUUUUACAAUACAUUCCCGUGUACUGGCUCCAAGGCAGAAGAGCAGUAAAGGCUAGCAAUGGGGGGCACGUGACUUGUCCAGGGUCACACAGCUAAGAAGUGUCUAAGAUCACAUUUGAACCCAGGACCUUCCACCUCUAGGCCUGGCUCUCUAUCCACUGAGCCACCUGGCUGCCCCAGAGAUGGCUGCUAAUCAUUUACCAGCACAGCCCUACUGUUAAUGAAUGACCGAAGGAAUUAUUUAAAGACUUACUCAAAGCUAGGCAGUCACACUGCUAAUAAAUGUCAGAGGCUGAGCUUGAA
Molecule: long non-coding RNA, 1770 nt
Organism: Monodelphis domestica (gray short-tailed opossum)
Lineage: Eukaryota; Metazoa; Chordata; Mammalia; Didelphimorphia; Didelphidae
Source: RefSeq, a predicted model, not a curated record